UCUAUGGUGGGCUGGACAAGGGAGCCGAAAGGCUCGCCGUUUUCCUCGUGCAACGGUACUGAGAACCUUGUUCAGUUCAUCACCA
This 85-nucleotide non-coding RNA is filed under the name Gilliamella apis. The record is from RNAcentral. Lineage: Bacteria; Pseudomonadati; Pseudomonadota; Gammaproteobacteria; Orbales; Orbaceae.